AGUGAACGCUGGCGGCAGGCCUAACACAUGCAAGUCGAACGGCAGCACAAGAGAGUUUGCUCUCUGGCUGUCGCGUGGCGGACGGGUGAGGCAUGCAUAUGAACCUCCUCAUUUGCGGGGGAUAACUCCGGGAAACCGGGACUAUUACCGCAUACGACCUACGGCUGAAAGUAGGGUAGUUACGGACCUUGUUCAGAUCGCUGAUCCGUUGAUGCACGCCGGAUUAGCUAGUUGGUAAGGUAACGGCGUACCAAGGCGACGAUUCGUAGCCGAGCUGAGAGGAUGAUCAGCCACACUGGAACUGAGACACGGUCCAGACUCCUACGGGAGGCAGCAGUAGGGAAUAUUGGACAAUGGGCGAAAGCCUGACCCAGCAAUGCCGCGUGUGUGAUGAAGGCCUUCGGAUUGUAAAGCACUGUUGUUGGGGAAGAAAAGCAGCCGAUGAAUACACGGAUGUCAUGACGGUACCCAAACAGAAAGCAACGGCUAACUACGUG
Molecule: ribosomal RNA, 497 nt
Filed under: uncultured bacterium
Lineage: Bacteria
Description: partial 16S ribosomal RNA
Rfam family: Bacterial small subunit ribosomal RNA
Source: RNAcentral